AUGCCAACGACCUCCAUGCCGGCAAUGCCGGACGGCCCCGCCUCUGGGUGGAUGGCCUCCUGUCGCAUCUCCGGCUCCUCGUCGGACACUAUCUCGGCGAAGAUUUCACCGAACUCCGUGCCCCGCUGGCAGAGGAAGCGGCGGUUGGCCUCCACCUCGGCCUUCGACUGGAUGGAGUCAAGGAUGGCCUACUGCUCCGCAGCCUCCUCCGCAUGGGCCACCUCGUACUCCGCCAUGGCUACGCUCGCAGUUGGAGGCGCCGGAUCCGCUUCGCCUGCGUCGUCGUCGUCCUCCUCCUCCUCCUCCGGCUCCGCAUCCUCCAUGGCGGCGUCCUGCUUUGCCUCGACCUCUGCCUUCGCCUCCUCCUCGCCCGACUCCGGAGGCAGGCCGAUUGUGAUCCGAGCUUCGUGCCACGCCUGA
This 420-nucleotide ribosomal RNA is filed under the name Triticum aestivum (bread wheat). RNAcentral's name for it is "partial small subunit ribosomal RNA". Lineage: Eukaryota; Viridiplantae; Streptophyta; Magnoliopsida; Poales; Poaceae. The record is from RNAcentral.